This 306-nucleotide ribosomal RNA is filed under the name uncultured Anoxybacillus sp. RNAcentral describes it as "bacterial SSU rRNA". It matches the Rfam family "Bacterial small subunit ribosomal RNA", at positions 1077 to 1382 of the family's 1533-position model. The record is from RNAcentral. Lineage: Bacteria; Bacillati; Bacillota; Bacilli; Caryophanales; Anoxybacillaceae.
GGGUUAAGUCCCGCAACGAGCGCAACCCUCGUCCUUAGUUGCCAGCAUUCAGUUGGGCACGUCUAAGGUGACUGACCGGCUAAAAGUCGGAGGAAGGUGGGGAUGACGUCAAAUCAUCAUGCCCCUUAUGACCUGGGCUACACACGUGCUACAAUGGGCGGUACAAAGGGUCGCGAACCCGCGAGGGGGAGCCAAUCCCAAAAAGCCGCUCUCAGUUCGGAUUGCAGGCUGCAACUCGCCUGCAUGAAGCCGGAAUCGCUAGUAAUCGCGGAUCAGCAUGCCGCGGUGAAUACGUUCCCGGGCCUU